GAUGAACGCUGGCGGCGUGCUUAACACAUGCAAGUCGAACGGAAAGGCCCAAGCUUGCUUGGGUACUCGAGUGGCGAACGGGUGAGUAACACGUGGGUGAUCUGCCCUGCACUUCGGGAUAAGCCUGGGAAACUGGGUCUAAUACCGGAUAGGACCACUUCUUGGAUGUUGUGGUGGAAAGUUUUUUCGGUGUGGGAUGAGCUCGCGGCCUAUCAGCUUGUUGGUGGGGUAAUGGCCUACCAAGGCGUCGACGGGUAGCCGGCCUGAGAGGGUGUACGGCUGUAUUAGAGCGGAGAUUAGGCCCAGAGUCCGACGGGGGGCAGCAGUGGGGAAUAUUGCACAAUGGACGCAAGCCUGAUGCAGCGACGCCGCGUGGGGGAUGACGGUCUUCUGGUUGAAGACUACUUUCGCUAGGGACGAAGCGUUUUGUGACGGUACCUAGAGAAAAAGCACCGGCUAACUACGUG
Molecule: ribosomal RNA, 467 nt
Filed under: uncultured bacterium
Lineage: Bacteria
Description: partial 16S ribosomal RNA
Rfam family: Bacterial small subunit ribosomal RNA
Source: RNAcentral